Molecule: ribosomal RNA, 395 nt
Filed under: uncultured bacterium
Lineage: Bacteria
Description: partial 16S ribosomal RNA
Rfam family: Bacterial small subunit ribosomal RNA
Source: RNAcentral
AUACGUAGGGUGCAAGCGUUAAUCGGAAUUACUGGGCGUAAAGCGUGCGCAGGCGGUUUUGUAAGACAGUGGUGAAAUCCCCGGGCUCAACCUGGGAACUGCCAUUGUGAAUGCAAGGCUGGAGUGCGGCAGAGGGGGAUGGAAUUCCGCGUGUAGCAGGGAAAUGCGUAGAUAUGCGGAGGAACACCGAUGGCGAAGGCAAUCCCCUGGGCCUGCACUGACGCUCAUGCACGAAAGCGUGGGGAGCAAACAGGAUUAGAUACCCUGGUAGUCCACGCCCUAAACGAUGUCAACUGGUUGUUGGGUCUUCAUUGACUCAGUAACGAAGCUAACGCGUGAAGUUGACCGCCUGGGGAGUACGGCCGCAAGGUUGAAACUUAAAGGAAUUGGCGGGG